RNAcentral lists this ribosomal RNA (253 nucleotides) under uncultured bacterium. Its description in RNAcentral is "partial 16S ribosomal RNA". It matches the Rfam family "Archaeal small subunit ribosomal RNA", at positions 474 to 727 of the family's 1478-position model. The record is from RNAcentral.
UACCAGCACCCCGAGCGGUCGGGACGUUUAUUGGGCCUAAAGCAUCCGUAGCCGGUUCUACAAGUCUUCCGUUAAAUCCACCUGCUUAACAGAUGGGCUGCGGAAGAUACUAUAGAGCUAGGAGGCGGGAGAGGCAAGCGGUACUCGAUGGGUAGGGGUAAAAUCCGUUGAUCCAUUGAAGACCACCAGUGGCGAAGGCGGCUUGCCAGAACGCGCUCGACGGUGAGGGAUGAAAGCUGGGGGAGCAAACCGG